This 995-nucleotide ribosomal RNA is filed under the name uncultured Actinomycetes bacterium. RNAcentral describes it as "bacterial SSU rRNA". It matches the Rfam family "Bacterial small subunit ribosomal RNA", at positions 231 to 1237 of the family's 1533-position model. The record is from RNAcentral. Lineage: Bacteria; Bacillati; Actinomycetota; Actinomycetes.
UCGCGGCCUAUCAGCUUGUUGGUGAGGUAAUGGCUCACCAAGGCGACGACGGGUAGCCGGCCUGAGAGGGUGACCGGCCACACUGGGACUGAGACACGGCCCAGACUCCUACGGGAGGCAGCAGUGGGGAAUAUUGCACAAUGGGCGAAAGCCUGAUGCAGCGACGCCGCGUGAGGGAUGACGGCCUUCGGGUUGUAACCCUCUUUCAGUAGGGAAGAAGCGAAAGUGACGGUACCUGCAGAAGAAGCGCCGGCUAACUACGUGCCAGCAGCCGCGGUAAUACGUAGGGCGCAAGCGUUAUCCGGAAUUAUUGGGCGUAAAGAGCUCGUAGGCGGUUUGUCGCGUCUAUCGUGAAAGUCCGAGGCUCAACCUCGGAUCUGCGGUGGGUACGGGCAGACUAGAGUGAUGUAGGGGAGACUGGAAUUCCUGGUGUAGCGGUGAAAUGCGCAGAUAUCAGGAGGAACACCGAUGGCGAAGGCAGGUCUCUGGGCAUUAACUGACGCUGAGGAGCGAAAGCAUGGGGAGCGAACAGGAUUAGAUACCCUGGUAGUCCAUGCCGUAAACGUUGGGCACUAGGUGUGGGGGACAUUCCACGUUUUCCGCGCCGUAGCUAACGCAUUAAGUGCCCCGCCUGGGGAGUACGGCCGCAAGGCUAAAACUCAAAGGAAUUGACGGGGGCCCGCACAAGCGGCGGAGCAUGCGGAUUAAUUCGAUGCAACGCGAAGAACCUUACCAAGGCUUGACAUGUGCCAGACCGCCGUGGAAACACGGUUUCCCCUUUGGGGCUGGUUCACAGGUGGUGCAUGGUUGUCGUCAGCUCGUGUCGUGAGAUGUUGGGUUAAGUCCCGCAACGAGCGCAACCCUCGUUCUAUGUUGCCAGCACGUGAUGGUGGGGACUCAUAGGAGACUGCCGGGGUCAACUCGGAGGAAGGUGGGGACGACGUCAAAUCAUCAUGCCCCUUAUGUCUUGGGCUUCACGCAUGCUACAUGGCCGG